Rhagoletis pomonella (apple maggot) is the source of this 557-nucleotide long non-coding RNA. RefSeq lists it as uncharacterized. The transcript has 2 exons. NCBI's taxonomy places the organism in Eukaryota, Metazoa, Arthropoda, Insecta, Diptera, Tephritidae. The record is from RefSeq and is a predicted model, not a curated record.
CAUCAGUCUUCAUUGACAUCAGCUGCUGUAGGGUUGUUGUGGUCUUCGUAGUCGCCGUGUUUUCUCAUUAUUCGUAGUCAGAAUUAUUUGCCUCCGCCGCCGUUGUCGUCACCGUCAACACCAGCACCACCUCCGCCAACACCAUUGUCGCUCCAAACGCUUGCUACACUACCAACGCGGCAAGCAAUCUUCCUCACACACACACACACACACGCACUCAUACGAUUGAAUAAAAGGCCAUAGAACGCUGAAAGCGAGUACUUUGAUUUUUGUAAAAAAAAAAUAAAAAUAAAACAAAAGAAAAAUAAAAAUAAAAAUAAUCGAUUAAUAACCAAAAAUUGCAAACGUGGAGCUAAAAAUAAAAGAGAAAAAGUUAACCAAAGUCAACGACGACAAAGCAAUCAAGUUUCUGUAGAUGUAUUUUAUAAAAAUAAAUGAAGUGAGUGCUUGAAAUUGUGCAAAAUAUUUAUGAGUGUAGCAGAUUAAGGAGAAAAUAAAAUACAUACAUCAUUCUAUAGCUACAACAACAUAACAGCAACAACGAAAAGAGUAGAAAA